AGACGUAGGGGGCUAGCGUUGCCCGGAUUCACUGGGCGUAAAGCGCGCGUAGGCGGUUCGGCAAGUCGCCCGUGAAAGCCCCUGGCUCAACUGGGGGAGGUCGGGCGAUACUGCCGGGCUAGAGGGCGGCAGAGGGAGGUGGAACGGCCGGAGUAGCGGUGAAAUGCGUAGAUACCGGCCGGAAUCCCGAUGGCGAAGGCAACCUCCUGGGCCGUUUCUGACGCUGAGGCGCGAAAGCUGGGGGAGCGAACCGGAUUAGAUACCCUAGUAGUCC
RNAcentral lists this ribosomal RNA (274 nucleotides) under uncultured bacterium. RNAcentral describes it as "partial 16S ribosomal RNA". It matches the Rfam family "Bacterial small subunit ribosomal RNA", at positions 523 to 796 of the family's 1533-position model. The record is from RNAcentral.